GCCUUGGUAGCACAGUGGUUUUAGUGCUUGGCUGCUAACCGACAGGUUGGAGGUUUGAACUCAUCCCGAGGCU
RNAcentral lists this transfer RNA (73 nucleotides) under Loxodonta africana (African savanna elephant). It matches the Rfam family "tRNA". Rfam says of the family: Transfer RNA (tRNA) molecules are approximately 80 nucleotides in length. Their secondary structure includes four short double-helical elements and three loops (D, anti-codon, and T loops). Further hydrogen bonds mediate the characteristic L-shaped molecular structure. tRNAs have two regions of fundamental functional importance: the anti-codon, which is responsible for specific mRNA codon recognition, and the 3' end, to which the tRNAs corresponding amino acid is attached (by aminoacyl-tRNA synthetases). tRNAs cope with the degeneracy of the genetic code in two manners: having more than one tRNA (with a specific anti-codon) for a particular amino acid; and 'wobble' base-pairing, i.e. permitting non-standard base-pairing at the 3rd anti-codon position. Lineage: Eukaryota; Metazoa; Chordata; Mammalia; Proboscidea; Elephantidae. The record is from Rfam by way of RNAcentral.